Non-coding RNA from Pelobates cultripes (western spadefoot toad), 310 nucleotides. The record is from the annotation of a GenBank genome assembly. NCBI's taxonomy places the organism in Eukaryota, Metazoa, Chordata, Amphibia, Anura, Pelobatidae.
UGUUGCAUUUGUUCCUUUCUGUUUAUUUCUCUCUUUUUUUCCCCAUGUGUGUAUUUCUAAUAUGCCUUCCUGCUUCUUUCCACCAAUCUGUGUAUCUAGGAGUGCUGUGGUUGAGGCACAUGGGCAUAGAGAUUUGCUCAGGGUUUCAUGACUACUAGCAGAAAGUGCCAAUACAUCAGAAUACAUCAUUUCAUUCCCCUAUAUGACCAGGAGAUCAGUAUUUACAUAGUAUAUGUCAUUUGUGUUGUGUCAUAAAAUAAGGGAUAUUGGCAAUUUUAAAACAAAUUAAACAAGCUUAUUUGUAGCUAAU